GGGGGUUGGAAGUACCAGGCUCUGUUGGCCUGCUGUGCAACUGAUAUUUCUAGCAUCAGAAUCUUUUGGAACUCAGAGUUGCAUUUUAUCUGAUUAAGAAUUUUGCUACCUCUGUUGCCCCAGUCAACUCUCAUCUUGGACUAAGCAAAGACCCUCACAGUGGAGCAGAGCAGUGGAAGUAGAGAAAUGGAGGAUGAGGCCAGUUUUUUAAAUAACAUAUUCCAAUGCCUUCUGGGCACACUCAACCUAUCUGUACUCUGCUUGAUUUGGACUCUUUCAUUCGGCAACCACGAACUUCCAGUUGCAAGCAGGGGCUUUAUGGGGCUGUAAAGAUGUAAAGAAUCGUUUCCACUGCACCCCACAUUUACCUCUUGAAGCAGCAUUCCCAUCAGACUAUAGGUGGAAUGCAGCAGCUGCCCUGAGGAACUGCUGUCCUGGAGGUAAGGAAGUAAAAGGCAACUUUGGGAAAGUAGACGUAGAGAGUUGUGUGGAGAAGCCGUGGUGGGAUAUGUUUCUUAUGUCUUAAAGGAUUGGAUACUGAAAGACAAAUCGCCUCUCAAAAUAGCAUUCCGCAAGACUGUGGUUGAUAGGGGUGGGCUAGCGUCUGAGUUAUGUGGAUCUUUCUUCAUCAGCUCAUUUGUGCAGCUUGGCUCAUGAACACCUGACUACUCUGGAUGUUAAUUCUUGAUGUGGAAAACAAUACAUUCACAUGAGAUUUGGGAUUAGGAUGAUUCUUUAAACUACUGUGAUUUCUCUUAAGCAUAUCCUGACUGUAUGCAAACUUGGGCAGAGUGGCAAAGAGAAAUAUGCACAUGUAUAACACAGGCAAGUCAAAAGGCAAUUCUGUUUUAACAUGCCAGGUUUUAUAAAAAACCUCUUGAUUUCCUACGUUUUAUGAAAAAAGGAAGAUAUUUUUAUGAAUGAAAUAAACUAUUUUAUAUUAAAGAUUAAAAUGGAAAAUGUAUUCCUUUUGGGCCUUUCUAUAUCUUAUUAGUAGGGAAGAAAUAAAGCAAUUUUGUAACCCUUUUAUUAAUAAUUCCAAAGUUUCGUUUAACUUUUGAACAAUUUUGUUGUAACAGACAGUAAAACAGAAUACAACUGAUAGAAUACAAAUUGUUGUAAAGAACUAUUAAUUUGUUAUUUUAAGAUUAUUGGUUUAUUAUUUAUCAAACAUACAUAUGAUGGGUAUUGCGCUAGGCACUGAGAGUAUAGUGAUGAACUCCAUGUGUCUUAAGCAUAUAUCUCAAAGUACCAAUUAAACUGACAAGAGAGUCACUUGAAAUAGAGAUUCCUCCCUCUCUAUGUUAAUAUUUUAUAUUCCUUAUAAACUGCAUUUUUGGGGGUCAUUUAAUUGAGCUGAGGAUGCCUAGAUGUGACAUUAUUGUAUGGGAUAGAGAUGCACAGGCUGCUUUUCUGAGGGCUCAACACAAAUCUGAUUUACCUCAACAAAAAUCCCAUCAGAGCGGACGGUAGAGACCCACACUGCAUCAAGGCCUCAGGAUGAGAAAGGAGGAGGAAGACUCAUUCCUAAUGACUCCAACCUGAGCAAAACUGAGCUAAGGCUCUAAUAGGCAUAUCCGACAUCCAUGUGAGCCAGAGCUCUCCAGUAGGACAGGGAUACGUGACUUUUGUGGACACUAAAUGUAUCCAGGGAAUUAUAAUAGAAUCACUUUGGUCAUUGGAACUAAAUUGAUUUCACUGCUGAAGAUAUACUGAACCUAUAUCAAGAGAGCUUGUUAGUAAAUUAUUGGGAAGAAUGAAAUGCGGUGGAUGUAUUUAGCUAACUUUUUUUUAUAGAGAGAGAGACGGGGUUUCACCGUGUUGGCCAGGAUGAUCUUGAUCUCUUGACCUUGUGAUCCGCCCGUCUCGGCCUCCCAAAGUGCUGGGAUUACAGGCGUGAACCACCACGCCAGUUAACUCAUAAUUGAAAGCAGUUGUGAUGAGCCUUAGUACUGGUAUUUGUUUUUUCGAUUAAUUCUUUUUUUCAGUUCUAACCAAGUAACCCAAAUAAGUGUUGUGUGUUGUAAAUACAUAUUUGUACCAAAUACAGCCUCAUACAUAUCU
Callithrix jacchus (white-tufted-ear marmoset) is the source of this 2064-nucleotide long non-coding RNA. RefSeq lists it as uncharacterized. NCBI's taxonomy places the organism in Eukaryota, Metazoa, Chordata, Mammalia, Primates, Cebidae. The record is from RefSeq and is a predicted model, not a curated record.